UUACACUGCUGUUGUCUCUAUUGUUAAACUUCACACAUUAUCAUGGCAUAACUCUGCAAACGCAUGAAAGUUGCUUCGAAUCAACAUCUAUUUUUAUAAUCCUAUUUAUGAUUCAUGUCCAAAACUCUUAUGGCUUGUCCAAAAAAAAUAAAAAUAAAAUCUGUUUUCUCGUAUAGUUCGGAAACGACAUAAGCCGGAAGAGACAUCACAGAUGAGUGAAACCGAAACACAGAUACUGGAUAUUCUACAACAAGCAGUAAAUACACGAGCAGAACAGUACCAGCUGUCUAGUAUGGUUGAUGUUUGUUGCUUUUUUAGGGAGUAAAGUGGGUCACUCAUUCCCAGCUCGGUCUGUUUCAACAUACGCCGAUGUGUCUCUGUUGGUGCUACAGACAAGCUAGCAGUCAACGUCAGACACGUUGGAGCGACAAUAUAAUGACUGGUGAAGGUUGCCCCUGUGUCACCUUCCAAGCUGCCCUGCAAAGACCCACUAGUCUUUACCAAGCUCAUCUUCCUCCUGGAUCAACUUCACCCUCCUCUGGCUGAUCAUCUGCUACCAGACCCCGCUCAUUCCUCCUUGGCGGUUCAGCAUCUCAUCUCCUGUAAGCACAUUCUCCCUUCCAAUAUCCUCCAGCACCUUACUAAUCCAACUUAUCUUUCAUGUACAAUUAAAGACUCAUUCUCUGUUCCCAGAUUCCUGAUUCACUUAUCAAACCAGUUACAAUAAACAUUUUAAACUUUC
Molecule: long non-coding RNA, 742 nt
Organism: Girardinichthys multiradiatus
Lineage: Eukaryota; Metazoa; Chordata; Actinopteri; Cyprinodontiformes; Goodeidae
Exons: 2
Source: RefSeq, a predicted model, not a curated record